RNAcentral lists this long non-coding RNA (358 nucleotides) under Homo sapiens (human). RNAcentral's name for it is "non-protein coding lnc-TP53TG3C-15:1". Lineage: Eukaryota; Metazoa; Chordata; Mammalia; Primates; Hominidae. The record is from RNAcentral.
UGCUUAGAUGCCUGGUGACUCUCAUCUUGCAGCAGGCCACACUGUUGGCCUCCAAUGAAGCCUUUAAAAAGCAGAUGGAGAGUGCUAGUGAGGCGGCCAAGAAGUACACGGAGAAUGACCAGCUCAAGAAGGUGAUGAGCUGCUGUUGACGGAGGCAAGUUGGAUGUCGGGAAUGCUGAGGUGAAGUUGGAGGAAGAGAACAGGAGCCUGAAGGCUGAGCUGCAGAAGCUAAAGGAUGAGCUGGCCAGCACUAAGCAAAAACUAGAGAAAGCUGAAAACCAGGUUCUGGCCAUGCAGAAGCAGUCUGAGGGCCUCACCAAGGAGUACGACCGCUUGCAGUAGGAGCACGCAAAGCUGC